Molecule: long non-coding RNA, 5739 nt
Organism: Oreochromis niloticus (Nile tilapia)
Lineage: Eukaryota; Metazoa; Chordata; Actinopteri; Cichliformes; Cichlidae
Exons: 3
Source: RefSeq, a predicted model, not a curated record
UUUAAUUGUACUUAUUUUGAUAAUGUUAUAUUUGCCAUAAAUUUUUAUAAACCCUGAUGUAACACACUGAGUCAGUACUAAUCUAGAGAGAGAGAAAAAAUGUUUGUUCUUGUAACAUUUUAUUAACAUUUUAGUUUUUAGGCAUUCAAUUUAAUUUGAUGUGUGAUUAAAUUGAUCCCUGGCAGUUUUAUCCAAAUCAUUAAAAAUCAUUUCUUAAGAGUUUUACCAGGAUAUUUCACGUUUUUAUAAAUAAAAUAAAUGCAGGAUCAGUUUCCUUGAAGUCGUUAUCUCUGGGCUGAGAAACACAAUCUGGCUUGUCCCUGAUAGAACGAUAAGAACUACCUAUUUUCAGAUCAUCGGAUUGCAGUAGAUCUGAGUCACGCUGAAUGAAGUCUAAAUAAAAAGAACCGCUUGGGGAAAAAUAAAACAGUGUUUAUUGAUGUGGCAUUUGACAUUAACUGCAACACACAGGAACAAAAUCCCACCUUUCCCUGACGUGUGCAUCCUGAGAAAUGAUUUUCAUGAUAUAAUAACACGGGUCAGCUUCACAUUCUCUGUAAUGUGUGAAAUGACUUUACAGCAACUCUAAUCCUAAUCUGGUUUCACAUGCGGAUUCUCCGUGUGCCUCCUUUGACCUUGUGUCACACGGCUCAUUUUCAAAUCCACUUUUCUGAUGCAAACUGGAUGAAACGCCCGAACAAACCAAGCAGCUGAAUAUUUUAAACCCUCUAACACACACACACACACACACACACUGGGCAUUUCACUCAGUGUUUGCUCUCGGAGAAGCAGCUGCAUUUUGCUGUCUUUGCAGGUAUCGAUUCCACCAACAGCAGCGUUUUUGUCUAACAGGUAACAGGCUGUGUUGGCCAGAGGCCGUCUCUGCGCAGAAAUAAUUCAACGUGGUGCCGUUGAGAAACAUGAGGCAAGCCCGUGCAGCUCUACGUGUCGCACAUCGAGAAUGGGAACAGAGCUGCACCGAGGCACCGUGUCCGUGGGAGGAGAACACGUUCCGCUGUCCUCCAGGGUUUCAAAGCCCGAUGGCGAGGGGAGAGCAGCAGAGAGCCUCCCAGCAGCCACCUAAUUACGCGUUCCACACGGCAGCGAGAUGAAGAGCAGCGUUUUAUCUGCCGCCUCCGUCCCACAACUUCUGCAGAGUAAUUGCUCGUUCUCAGCCUCCGUUUUCUCCACAGUGAGGACUCAAAGGCAGGGUGGGGCUGAGCGGUGCGUGUGUGUGCGUGCGCGCACAGAGAGGAGGUAAAUAUUUCUGGAUGUGUAGCCGUUUGUGGAAUUGUCUCUUAGGAUUGGAGAGCUGUGUGAAGCUGCACUCAGACCCUGUGGUGCUUUGAGCAAAAUGCAGUGACAGUGCCAACGUGUUCAUGUUUGCAGCUGAACCUUUAGCUAGCACACUACAAAGAAGCAGGUUGUGUGUUUUCUUUUUCUUGUCAAGAAGUUACCCGUCACUUAAAAAAUGUUACUCCUUUUAUAUUCUCGCUCCUCUUCUGUAGUGCUAGCUAGUUGUUGAUGUACACCGACCAUAGUUUAUAUUAAAAUCUGCCCCCAAAACACUGUUCCAGAUACUCCAGCCCGCUUUAACCGCCGACUGUGAUGCUGUAAGUGAUUAUUAGAUUACUUUUACUUUUUUUUUUUUCUCAUUGUGUAUGAUAAGCAGCAGUGAUGGGCACGCCAAUAAGAUUGUCUUAUUGGUUUGAUUUUUGAAGGUGUGCAGUGAUGGGGAAUAACAAAUUCCUGAAAGUAGAGAUAACUGUGUAAAAAUGCAGAAUGUAAAAGUAAAAAGUAAAAAAAAAAAAAAAAUACUCAAUAAAUACCUACACAUAUUUUAGUUUUGUACCACAGUUCAAAGAAAACCAUGCCAAGCUCAGAUUCAGGAGUGAUUUAGAAUUUGGUUGUAGGUGUGGAUGUGUGUUUGUUUCCCAUGGACUGGCAACUUGCCCAGGGCGUACCCCACCUCUGCCCCGUGACAGCUGGGGAGAGGUUGCCAGUGCAUCACACACAACCAUGCACCCUCAGACUCAAGCCCAGCGCCUUCUGACCUUUAGACUUCUGACAGUAACCGUAUGGAUCACAGGAUGUACCGAGCUGAGGAGGUCUCAGCCUAAAACAAAGGUCACGUAUUGAAAGCUGCAGCGCCUCUUCAGCGUUACUUCAGCGGUGGUGCGAGUGGAGCAGGAGGACUAAAAGAAAGGCUGCGGGAGGAAUUCUUUCUCUGCCUGAAGACAGCAAAGGACAGUAAACAAUAAGUAUAUUCAUAAAUAUUUAGAGAGAAUAUAUUUGUGUACAAGUAUUUAUCGAUUAACAUCUAUUAAUGUAAAAACAUGUAUUUUUCUAUAGCGCACCACUGCAGUUCCUGUUUUAGGCUUACAGAACACUGAACUUUCUGGAUCCUUUUUUACAAAUUAUUUCCAUUGUUUGGUUUUGAAGGUGUGAACUAGUUUUUCACCAUCUUCUGUUAUUUGUUUGCGAAUUUUCAGUCGGUUUUGAACCAGAUUCAGGCACACGAGGUGAACGCCGGUGCCUGCAGACGUCUGUGUGAAGAAGUGUUUUCAUGCUGUCGAGUUUAUCAGGACGUUUUAAUGUGCGUGGUGAGAAAAGGAGCCUCUCAGCAGAUCUGGCAGCUCCAGACUGAGAGGCUUUAUUAGCGAUAAGGGGGAAGUUGUGGUCUUAUUAAAACCGUUUGAGACUCGGAGAGCUGCCGGAGUGAUGAAGCACUGCAGGAAGAGGGAACCAAAGAGGUCAUAACACCUCCUCCAAAACAUUUAAUUGGUAUUUUUCACUUGUUUUUUUUUUUCCUUUUUGCUCAUGCCUGCUGUUUAAGAUAGGAAAUACUCAACAUUACUGACUGCUGCACAAUGCACAUCAGGCCUGGCUCACUUAUUACAGGGUUUUAUUAUUGCUGAGAGUCUCAAAGUGUCGGAGAAAAGAGAAAAAAAUCACACCACCAAAAACUAAAAUCAAAACUGCAACUGUUCUGGAGUUAAACAUCAGAGUGACUGCCAAACACACCACUCAUCUCUUUUUUGGGGUUCCAUAUUUAAAUAAAAUAAUAAAAAUACAUUUAAUGGUUUUAACAGGACAAUAAAUAAUAAAGAGUUGCAGCCUCUCCAGUGUGAAGACUUUAUUUUCAAAAUGGAUUUAAAAUGCUUUGGACUGAUGGGCAAAUCGAAUUUAUCCCACUUUAUUCACACAAAACAGAUUUUUGUAAGAGUUGAAAUAAUCCUUCACAUUUCACUGACCAUCACAGAUAAAUUAUAAAGUUAAUCUGCAGUGACAAACUGUUUAGGUUGAUGUAAUAAAAUAUGAAAGUAUUUACCAGUGCAACAGAAUCAUUUGAUGCAGACAUGAAAAAAUAAAUAAUCCAGCGCUCAGCCCGACUGAAUUUACCGUAAGAGAAAAAAGGUUACACAAAAAGCUCCAGUGUCUUUAUUUGAACGUGCGAUCUAAUAUCUAACAUUAUUUAGGCGAGCUUUAGUGACCGAAGCAGCUGCCAGUCACAGGGCCGGCGGACGCAGCUCUGAUGGGAGGAAAGAAGCAGUGAACAGGAAGUCGCUUUCUCUGAGGUCGGAUUCGCUUUCGUUCUAACGAAGCGAGUCGCUUUGACGUAAUGAGGACACGAAAACAUCUCGUUAGGAACUGCCAGCUCUGAUUAAACUUCAUUAGCUCUCUGUUUCUCUGCUGCAAUUUGCUUCUCCCUUUUCCACUCUGUCUCGCUUUAUUUUUGUCCGUCUCUUUAAGCUCCUCUGCUGCUUCUGUCUUCCAUAUUGUGUUUUUGUGGUUCACCAAUCAUUUUUUUAAAUGCUUUUUUAAAGGAUGUCAUAUUUCCAGCUCAAAUUAAUGAAUUAAUUCAUCAAUAUAAAUGAAAUGUUGCUGAUAUAAAAUCAGUCGGCCAUCCUGUUUUUCGUGUACUUCUCUACAGUACGUGUCAUUUCUGUUUGUUUUCUUUGUUACUACUCUUGGUUUUGUGUAUUUUCCCCAUCCUGUCAUUUAAGACGACCUCCACCCACUCGCUGCAGCAGUCUCACACGUCUUUAAAUAUAUUGUCAAGUUUUUUGAAAUCGAAACUUUUCUUUAAAGCAAAACCUAAAAAAAAUGCAAGCAGUUUAAUGUACUAAAUGUUAAAACUCUCUACUGUGCCGAUGUUUUUCCUAUUUCUUGAUCAAAUAAUUCCAUCUGUAUGUUUUAGGAACUAAAAGUUCUUUCCUCAAACUGCUGUUUCUCCUGAAGGCAGGAAGCCAAAGAUCAGCACCAUCUGAUGUCAUCUCAUAGCGAGGAAACUCAGUAAUUACUGCUGUUUUUAUUCCUUCCAAUCAUAUUACAGACGAUCAUGUGACCUCUGUGUGGGAGUCACCUGGCCCUGCCCUCUCUCUGGAUCUGACGGCGAACACGCAUUAUGCCGGUUGGUGUGAGUGACCUGUAGGCUGGCGUGGGCCCGGCGGGUUCACAGCGAAAUGCUAGCAGGAGCUUCUUGUUGGCCAAACGGAGAGAGUAGGAGGGCUGUUAUAUGAGCUGAUUGGUGGGAGUUUGUUGUGUAACGGCCGUCAGAGCGGUGGCGCAGCAAAACCGGAAAGCGUUGUUAGCUGGAAACUGAAGCCUCCUCAUAAUGAAAACUGAGUACAGCGAGAGGAAAUGAUGGUGAACAGAUAAUAAGGUUUAAAAUGAGGGUAAUGGUAUUAGUGAUUAUUGACAAUGGUCACCAGAGCAGACCAGAGAUCUUUCAUGUGGCCCUCCGGUGACGGUGGAUAAGUGUGAAAAACUGGAUGGGUGGAUGGGCAUUUAUUGUGAAAUCAGUGACCACAUCAGUUUAUUGAAAAUUACAGCAAGAUAAGAGAAACAUGAAGGGGAAUGAAAAAUGGGCAAUAAAUAAAAGUUGCAUUGCUGAGUUUUGGAUUUCAGUGCAACGUCUUCACAGAGUAGAACUCUGUGGUAUCUUUAUUUUGAAAUAUAAAGCACACUGAGACAACUGAUGCUGUAAACUGGUGAUUUUAAGGAUGAAAAAAUAAGAAACACUUCAAGUGGAGUCCUCACUGCAUAUCUAACAGAGUCAGCCUCCAGAGUGACAGUGAGCUGCGCAACUUCAAAAAUUAUGGUUUGAAAAGUUCAAGAAGACGUUUUUGCCUUGAGCAGAUUACACGGGAUGUCCUGUGGUGUGAACUGGCUUCUCUAGGACACAAAACUGGUUCAUGGGUUAAAGUUAAAGGAAGAAUGAACUAGAAACGUGCGAGACGAGUGAGACUCUUUAGAACGCAGGAACAGAGAGAAGCUAAAGUCUGAAAUCAACUGAAACGGAAAAAUAAAGCUCAAGAUACUUGGGCAAUUGUCAACCAACAACAAUGGAACUAAGAAUCAAAUAUAAUGUUAAAUAAUUAAGAAUUUAAAAGUCCACAAAAGGAAAAAAUAUCCCCAGGACCACAAUAAAAAAAGUGCUUCGAACAUUUGAUGGCUUUGGCCCAAAACCAGCUGUUUAAAAGCUUUUUUCUCCUCUGGUAUUUCUACUUGUCAAAUUACUCGCUGCAUUAUUUACUGCUGUGGAGUCCUACAGAAGAUUUCAAUUCUGGAUUAUCUGAGUGUCAUUACUCUCUUAUAAUAAUAAGCAUGCUACAGCACAAGGACCAAAUCCUACCACAUUAUUAUGACAUGGAAAACUGACUUUUUCCUUUUUCUUUACAUAUUGUCUAAAAUUUAGAAGAUGUCAAAGACAUCGUCACGUUAAUUGGCUAAUAU